Molecule: ribosomal RNA, 253 nt
Filed under: uncultured bacterium
Lineage: Bacteria
Description: partial 16S ribosomal RNA
Rfam family: Bacterial small subunit ribosomal RNA
Source: RNAcentral
UACAGAGGGUGCGAGCGUUGUCCGGAAUCACUGGGCGUAAAGGGCGCGUAGGCGGCUCGGUCAGCGUGCGGUGAAAGCCCGGGGCUCAACCCCGGGAGGCGGGUGGAUACUGUCUAGCUCGAGUCCGGAAGAGGAGUGUGGAAUUCCUGGUGUAGCGGUGAAAUGCGCAGAUAUCAGGAGGAACACCAAUGGCGAAGGCAGCACUCUGGGACGUGACUGACGCUGAGACGCGAAAGCGUGGGGAGCAAACAGG